UUUCUUUUUCGUGUUACAUUGAGGGCUCCUUGUCAAGAAUCAAUCGAGGUUGUGAAAAGAAGAUUCUUAUUGAUUACGGCAAGAGGCAAUGCCUUUAUAUACACGAUAAGUUUAGACCUAGUUAAUCUAUACAAUAUAAAUGGGCUAAGGCCACACAGCCCAACACCCCUCCUCAAGCUGGUAUAUGGAGAUUGCAGAUACCAAGCUUGGCAAGAAAGUCUGCAAACUCUUUUCGUCCUAAGGCUUUAGUGAGAAUGUCCGCUAGCUGAGAAGUGGUUGAGACGUGCUUAGUAGCGAUAGUGCCAUUGACGAGCUCAUCGCGAAUGAAAUGGACGUCUCGACGCACAUGUUUAGUGCGAGCAUGAUAGACAGGAUUAGCAGCAAGACUUAUGGCUGAUAAACUAUCUGAAUGGAGUGUGGUAGGAGCAGUACACGGAAUACCGAGAGCGGGAAGUAAUUCACGGAUCCAUAUGAUUUCACUCACUGUUUCUGCCAUAGCCCUGUAUUCAGCUUCGGCAGAAGAGCGGGAAACAACAUUUUGUUUCUGUGUCUUCCAAGAUAAAGGAGAGCCACCCAACUGAAUAAACCAACCGGUGAGAGAUCGAUCUGAAUGAGGACAUGCUCCAAAGUCUGAAUCGCACCAGGCAGAGAGAACCAAAGGUGUAUUAGCACGUAGGAGAAUACCUUGACCAGGACUAGACUUUAGAUAUCUGACGACGCGAAGAGCAGCUUCCCAAUGAGCCGGUUUAGGAUUAUGCAUGAACUGUGAGAGAAUAUGAAUAACAUAUGAUAAUUCAGGCCUCGUAGUCGCAAGAUAAAUAAUGCGCCCAACUAGACGACGGUAUCGAAGUGGGUCAUCUAUUGUUUCACCAGUGGCAAAAGCAAGCUUAUGAUUUUGGUCCAAUGGAAAAGAAGCCGGUUUAACACCAAGGAGACCCGUUUCUGUGAUAAUGUCAAGUGCGUACUUUCGUUGGCAUAAGUAGAUACCUUCAGGACUCCGAGCAACCUCAAUUCCCAAGAAGUACCGCAAAAUUCCAAGAUCCUUCAUAUAGAAACAAGAGCUUAAGUAAUGUUUAAACUCUGUAAUCACAGCAAUAGUAGUACCCGUGAUGAUCAAAUCGUCCACGUAUACUAAAACAUGAAGUCGAACUCCGUUUUUGUGAAAGAUAAACAAAGAGUAAUCUGAAAUAUCUUGAAUAAAACCGUAGUUCUUCAAUGCCGAUGUGAGCUUUGCGAACCAACAACGAGGAGCUUGUUUGAGACCAUACAAAGAUUUGCGUAAACGACAUACUUUUGUCUUGUCACCAGUACGAAAUCCCGGAGGAAAUUGCAUGUAUACCUCUUCGUCAAGAUCACCAUGGAGAAACGCGUUGUGAACAUCCAUUUGAUGAACCUCCCAGUCAAGUGAAACAACUUGCUGAAGAAAAGCGCGGACUGUGACCAUUUUCGCAACCGGAGCAAAAGUUUCUGUGUAAUCAAGACCUUCGGUUUGAUUGUUACCAAGAACAACCAAACGUGCUUUGUGUCGUUCAAGUGUGCCGUCAGAUUUGUAUUUUAGACGAAACACCCAUUUACAACCAAGAGCUUUCUUCCCUGGAGGCAAGUCUUCGACUGUCCAAGUACCAAGAUUUUCAAGCGAACCAAU
RNAcentral lists this small RNA (1645 nucleotides) under Arabidopsis thaliana (thale cress). Its description in RNAcentral is "ATSL057240". Lineage: Eukaryota; Viridiplantae; Streptophyta; Magnoliopsida; Brassicales; Brassicaceae. The record is from RNAcentral.